This is a long non-coding RNA of Cyprinus carpio carpio, 577 nucleotides long. The record is from Ensembl. NCBI's taxonomy places the organism in Eukaryota, Metazoa, Chordata, Actinopteri, Cypriniformes, Cyprinidae.
ACAUUGUAGUGCUGUGUGGAGCGUUCUUUUUUUCUCUCAGAUUACGUCUGUCUCUCUCGUGUCAGGUUCUAGCGGGGCCCCUCGUCCCCAGAGACAGAUUACAUUCAAACGCACCAUUCAGCGCAAACUUACCGGAUCACGAGCAGCUUUCCCAAGCGCUCGCCAACUGCUGCACUGCAAACUGAAACUUGGUCACAGCGGCCGGAUCGGUGGCAAACACCUGCACAUCAUUAGUCAUUAGAUUUGUUAGCGCUUUCGGCUCGGUUUGCACGCACCGGUGAAGGUGCACGAGAGAACUCGAGGAACCCGCUGAUUGCGCGUGCGAGCGCGCACAUCUCCUCCAAUCGUGCCCUCUCGCAGUGACGAGAACAACGCCACGCUCUACACGCUCGGGGUUCAAAGUGCUGCACAAGAACCCUUCGUCAGGACGUCCUGAAGUUUACUGGAACGCUGAAGGAACUGGUUUAGAGACCGUGCACGGAUCUCAAAGUCCCAAACACUGAACAGAACUACUAAAACGAUCUCCUGGUGUGUUUUUAAGAAAACAGCGCGUGCAGGGAGAGAUCUGGCAUCGCCC